This 27-nucleotide non-coding RNA is filed under the name Homo sapiens (human). Lineage: Eukaryota; Metazoa; Chordata; Mammalia; Primates; Hominidae. The record is from RNAcentral.
UAAAUGAAAACGUUGGUACCUGAAGGC